Molecule: ribosomal RNA, 458 nt
Filed under: uncultured bacterium
Lineage: Bacteria
Description: partial 16S ribosomal RNA
Rfam family: Bacterial small subunit ribosomal RNA
Source: RNAcentral
CCUACGGGAGGCAGCAGUGAGGAAUAUUGGUCAAUGGCCGGAAGGCUGAACCCGCCAAGCCGCGUGAGGGACGAAGGUGCCAAGCAUUGUAAACUUCUUUUGUCAAGGGACAAAAUCAGGCUCGAGAGCCUGCCCGAGGGUACUUGAAGAAAAAGCAUCGGCUACCUCCGUGCCAGCAGCCCCGGUAAUACGGAGGAUCGGAGCGUUAUCCGGAUUACUUGGGUUAAAAGGGUGCGAAGGCGGACUGUUACGUCAGGGGUAAAACCCGGGGCUCAACCCCGGCGAGCCGUUGAAACUGGCUGUCUUGAGAUGUCGAGAGGUAUGCGGAAUGCGCAGUGUAGCGGUGAAAUGCUUAGAUAUUGCGCAGAACUCCGAUUGCGAAGGCAGCAUACCGGCGGCGAUCUGACGCUGAGGCACGAAAGCGUGGGUAUCGAACAGGAUUAGAUACCCCGGUAGUC